Molecule: transfer RNA, 63 nt
Filed under: Andrena haemorrhoa
Lineage: Eukaryota; Metazoa; Arthropoda; Insecta; Hymenoptera; Andrenidae
Description: tRNA-Ala
Source: RNAcentral
AGGAUAUUAGUUAAAUAAUAACAAUUAAAUUGCAUUUAAUAAUUAUCUAAAUGAUAUAUCUUA